RNAcentral lists this ribosomal RNA (468 nucleotides) under uncultured bacterium. Its description in RNAcentral is "partial 16S ribosomal RNA". It matches the Rfam family "Bacterial small subunit ribosomal RNA", at positions 28 to 507 of the family's 1533-position model. The record is from RNAcentral.
GACGAACGCUGGCGGCGUGCUUAACACAUGCAAGUCGAACGGAAAGGCCCUGCUUUUGUGGGUUUCUCUAGUUGCGAACGGGUGAGUAACACGUUAGUAUCCUGCCCUUUACUUUGUGAUAACUUCUGGAAACUGGUUCUAAUACCGGAUAUGAUCUCCUGCUGCAUGGUGUUGUUUGGAAAGUUUCGGCGGUUGGGGAUGGACUCGCGGCUUAUCAGCUUGUUGGUGGGGUAGUGGCUUACCAAGGCUUUGACGGGUAGCCGGCCUGAGAGGGUGACCGGAGAAAAUGGGACGGAGAGACGGACAAGAAGAGAAAGGGAGGCAGCAGGGGGGAAGAUUGCAAAAUGGGCGGAAGCGUGAGGAAGAAAGGAAGGGAGGGGGAUGAAGGACGUCGGGUUGUAAACAGAAGUGGAAGGAGAAGAAGAGUGAGUGACGGUAAUGGGUAAAGAAGCAACGGCUAACUACGUG